CAACAGCUCUGCAGACCUUCAGUUUGGUAUACAGCCUCCUACCUCUCCUCUCCCAAACACUGAACAAGCUCUGGCAAUGCGUGUGUCAGCCUCAUCAUCUCUGUGAACAUCCUUGGAAAGAAUACUGCCGAGGAAGCAUCUGCCUGGCAUUCAAGGUCCAAAUGAUGGUCCAAAACCCAGCUCUGUUGGGGAACGAGGGAGAGACAUUGGCUCUCCGUCGCAUGCCAGCCUGUCUCCUCCCCUCCAACAGGUACAGCUGAUCUUCCAUGCUGCUGACAGAAUAAUAGAAACAUCGGUUACAUUACUCCUCUGCUCAAACAUCUUAUCAACCAAGCAAAGGUCAAACUCCUGUCCAGACACUUAUAGUCCCAAGCAAUCUCAGGAUCCAAGCUGAAAGGGACCAUGGAGGUCAUUUAGUCCAACCCUCUCCCUUUACAGAAGAGGAAAUUGAAACCCAGA
Phascolarctos cinereus (koala) is the source of this 459-nucleotide non-coding RNA. Lineage: Eukaryota; Metazoa; Chordata; Mammalia; Diprotodontia; Phascolarctidae. The record is from RefSeq and is a predicted model, not a curated record.